Molecule: ribosomal RNA, 219 nt
Filed under: uncultured bacterium
Lineage: Bacteria
Description: partial 16S ribosomal RNA
Rfam family: Bacterial small subunit ribosomal RNA
Source: RNAcentral
CUGCCCUUGAGUGGGGAACAUGUCCGAAAGACGUAAAUCCCGCAUGACAUCUUCCGCUCGCAUGUGUAGAAGAUCAAAGGUGCCCUCUGAUUCAAGGUGCCGCUUGAGGAUGACCCCGAGUCCUAUUAGCUUGUUGGUGGGGUAAUGGCCCACCAAGGCGAUGAUGGGUAGCUGGCCUGAGAGGGUGGUCAGCCACACUGGGACUGAGAUACGGCCCAG